GGUUGUUCUUGGUUUGUACACCCAAGAAUCGGGCUCCCUCCUCUCUGGUUCCAGUGUGUCAUCCGAGAACCACC
This is a non-coding RNA of Myotis davidii, 74 nucleotides long. The record is from Rfam. Lineage: Eukaryota; Metazoa; Chordata; Mammalia; Chiroptera; Vespertilionidae.